UGGCGCACGGGUGAGUAACGCGUACAGAACCUGCCUACGAGCGGGGAAUAGCCCCGGCGAAACUGGAGAUUAAUGCCCCAUUGGACCAUAAUGCCGUCUGGCAUACUGGUUCAAGCGUCGGCGCUCGUAGAUGGCUGUGCGUGCCAUAUGCUAUUUGGUGGUGUGACGGACCACCAAAGGUACGAGCGCUACAGGGGCGUGAAGAGCGUGGCCCCCCAGACAGGUUCUGCGACCCGGACCCAACUCCUACGGGGAGGCGGCCUCCUGGAGUAUGGGACAAUGGGGGCUACCCUGAUCCGGCCGUCCCGCUUGCACGAUGACGGCCCUUCAGUUUGUAAAGUGCUUUUGCCAUGGAAGACACGAGCCCGCUUGUGGGUCAUCGACGGUACCUCACACAAUAGGCACCGGGUAACUCCGUGCCGACAGCCGGGGCUAAUACCGAGGGUGCAAGCGUUGUCCGGAAUCACUGGGUAUCGUGGGUGCGUAUGCGGGAUGGUAAGUCACGCGUGAGCGGCCGUCGCUUUCCGAUGUAACUGCCUUUGAUUCUGUCCUGCUUGAGUCUAUUAAACGCCGACAGAAUGUGGCAUGUAACGGUGACGUGCUUAGAUGUGCCAUAGAACACCGAUUGCGAAUGCGGCUGGCUAGGCUUAGAUAGAGGCUGAGGCACGACCGCGUGUGGAGCGAACGGGCUAAGGUACCCUGGUAGUCCACGCCCUACACGAUGUGAACUCGGCUGUGGCCGAGGAGACCAGGGCCCAAACGAAAGCGGUAAGUAAACCACCUGGGGAGUAAGUCGGCGACGAUGAAACUCAAAGGAACAGACGGGGGUCCGCACAAGCGAUGGAGCAUCUGGUUUAAGUAGAUGACACGCGAGGAACAUUACGUAGGCUAGAAUGCGAGCGCCACCCGCCGAAAGCAGGGAUUCCGUCGGCACGCGAAGCAAGGUGCUGCAUGGCUGUCGUCAGCUCAUGCCGUGAGAUGUUGGGUUAAGUCCCCCAACCGAGCGCAACCCCUAUUUCCAGUUGCCAGCAAUAAGAUGGGGACUCUGGAAAGACUGCCGGCGCAAGCAGCGAGGAAGGUGGGGACGACGUCAAGUCAUCAUGGCCUUUAUGCAUAGGGCUACACACGUGCUAC
RNAcentral lists this ribosomal RNA (1134 nucleotides) under uncultured organism. Its description in RNAcentral is "bacterial SSU rRNA". It matches the Rfam family "Bacterial small subunit ribosomal RNA", at positions 96 to 1228 of the family's 1533-position model. The record is from RNAcentral.